GACGGUGCGCUAACCAGCAAUGGAGGCAGCCGGCCACGGUAGGGUCAGCGACUGGGGUGAAGUCGUAACAAGGUAGCCGUAGGGGAACCUGCGGCUGGAUCACCUCCUUU
RNAcentral lists this ribosomal RNA (110 nucleotides) under Bradyrhizobium sp. LHD-71. RNAcentral describes it as "partial 16S ribosomal RNA". It matches the Rfam family "Bacterial small subunit ribosomal RNA", at positions 1426 to 1533 of the family's 1533-position model. Lineage: Bacteria; Pseudomonadati; Pseudomonadota; Alphaproteobacteria; Hyphomicrobiales; Nitrobacteraceae. The record is from RNAcentral.